AGAAUCAACGCUGGCGGCGUGCCUAACACAUGCAAGUCGCACGAGAAAGGGGAGCAAUCCCUGAGUAAAGUGGCGCACGGGUGAGUAACACGUGAAUCAUCUACCUCCGAGUGGGGAAUAACCUAGAGAAAUCUGGGCUAAUACCGCAUAACACUUACGAGUCAAAGCAGCAAUGCGCUUGGAGAGGAGUUCGCGGCCGAUUAGUUAGUUGGCGGGGUAAUGGCCCACCAAGACGAUGAUCGGUAUCCGGCCUGAGAGGGCGCACGGGACACACUGGAACUGAAACACGGUCCAGACUCCUACGGGAGGCAGCAGUGGGGAAUUUUGCGCAAUGGGGGAAACCCUGACGCAGCAACGCCGCGUGGAGGAUGAAAUAUCUUGGUAUGUAAACUCCUUUCGAUGGGGAAGAUUAUGACGGUACCCAUAGAAGAAGCCCCGGCUAACUUCGUGCCAGCAGCCGC
This 461-nucleotide ribosomal RNA is filed under the name uncultured bacterium. Its description in RNAcentral is "SSU rRNA". It matches the Rfam family "Bacterial small subunit ribosomal RNA", at positions 26 to 518 of the family's 1533-position model. The record is from RNAcentral.